AUGUCAUAUAGGAGAAACAACCCUGAGAUCUCACCGUUUGCUUCUAGUAAUCAUAUGCAGGGAUUUAGGUAUGAAGAGGAGAGCCACAACUAUGCUCCACAACAGUCUUAUUCAGCUCCUAUUCAUAUACCUCUGCACCAGGAGAUGUUGCCAAUGGAGUUAAAUGGUCCUCCAUUUGGUCAACCAACAACUCCAGCACCUGUUGUGCAAUCUCAAGUGCCCACUCAAGAUGAGUUCGAUCACAUAGACGAGCUCACACUUUUGAGUCUCGAGUUCACUUGGAGUGCCGAGGAUGAUCCUAUUAGGAAGGUGAUACUUGAGGAAAUGAAGAAGAUUAAGAGUGGAAAGGAGCUAGUGGAAGAAGUAAGGAAGAUUGAGAAGAACAUCAACGCUGGCAGUACUAUCUCUUCCCUCCUUGAGUUGAGUGUGGCCGAGAUUCCCCUUGAUACAUGUGAGGUUCCAACACCGUCACAUCCAGUUGAGCAAGAUAGCAAGAGUCCUGAGGAAGAAAGACCUCAGAUUGAAGAAGAUGAACUAGAAGACAAGGAACAAGAUGGUGAAGAGCUGCAAUUCCCAAGUGAUCAAGUUGAAGACUCAUCAUCUAUUACUCCUGAAGAAGUACAAGAAGCUGAUGUAGAUGAAGAUGAAGAACAUGAGAUUCAUUUGCCUAUUGUCAUACCAGAGCGUCAUGUGUCAGGUUUACCCAAUCCUCUCAAUGACAUGCGUCCUUAUGAUUCCUUUGCUUCUACCUUGCAUUGCAUGAUGCCAUCUGUUAAAGUAGAUUAG
Molecule: ribosomal RNA, 786 nt
Filed under: Triticum aestivum (bread wheat)
Lineage: Eukaryota; Viridiplantae; Streptophyta; Magnoliopsida; Poales; Poaceae
Description: partial small subunit ribosomal RNA
Source: RNAcentral